AUACGUAGGUGGCAAGCGUUGUCCGGAAUUAUUGGGCGUAAAGCGCGCGCAGGUGUUUCUUAAGUCUGAUGUGAAAGCCCACGGCUCAACCGUGGAGGGUCAUUGGAAACUGGGAGACUUGAGUGCAGCAGAGGAUAGUGGAAUUCCAAGUGUAGCGGUGAAAUGCGUAGUGAUUUGGAGGAACACCAGAGGUGAAGGCGACUAGCUGGUCUGUAACUGACGCUGAGGCGCGAAAGCGUGGGGAGCAGAAAGGAUGAUAUACCCGGUUAGUCCACGCCGUAAACGAUGAGUGCUAAGUGUUAGGGGGUUUCCGCCCCUUAGUGCUGCAGCUAACGCAUAAAGCACUCCGCCUGGGGAGUACGGUCUCAAGACUGAAACUCAAAGGAAUUGACGGGG
RNAcentral lists this ribosomal RNA (396 nucleotides) under uncultured bacterium. Its description in RNAcentral is "partial 16S ribosomal RNA". It matches the Rfam family "Bacterial small subunit ribosomal RNA", at positions 523 to 918 of the family's 1533-position model. The record is from RNAcentral.